This 71-nucleotide transfer RNA is filed under the name Stegodyphus mimosarum. It matches the Rfam family "tRNA". From Rfam's summary of the family: Transfer RNA (tRNA) molecules are approximately 80 nucleotides in length. Their secondary structure includes four short double-helical elements and three loops (D, anti-codon, and T loops). The record is from Rfam by way of RNAcentral. Lineage: Eukaryota; Metazoa; Arthropoda; Arachnida; Araneae; Eresidae.
ACCUUCGUGGUGUAAUGGUAGCACACUCGGUGCGUAUUCGAGAGGUCCAGGUUCGAGUCCCGGCGAGGGCA